UGAGGAAUAUUGCGCAAUGAGCGAAAGCUAGACGCAGCAACGCCGCGUGGACGAUGAAGGCCUUCGGGUCGUAAAGUCCUUUUCAGAGGGACGAGUGAGGACGGUACCUCUGGAAUAAGUCACGGCUAACUACGUGCCAGCAGCCGCGGUAAAACGUAGGUGGCGAGCGUUAUCCGGAUUCACUGGGCGUAAAGCGCCUGCAGGCGGUCUCGUAAGUGGGAUGUGAAAUCUCCUGGCUUAACUGGGAGGGGCCAUUCCAUACUGCGAGGCUUGAGGGCAGAAGAGGGAAGCGGAAUUCCCGGUGUAGUGGUGAAAUGCGUAGAUAUCGGGAGGAACACCAGUGGCGAAGGCGGCUUCCUGGCCUGCUCCUGACGCUAAGAGGCGAAAGCUAGGGGAGCGAACGGGAUUAGAAACCCCGGUAGUCCUAGCUAUAAACGAUGGAUACUGGGUGUCGGUGGUCCUAACCCCAUCGGUGCCGAAGCUAACGCGUUAAGUAUCCCGCCUGGGGACUACGGCCGCAAGGUUA
This 526-nucleotide ribosomal RNA is filed under the name uncultured bacterium. RNAcentral describes it as "bacterial SSU rRNA". It matches the Rfam family "Bacterial small subunit ribosomal RNA", at positions 355 to 896 of the family's 1533-position model. The record is from RNAcentral.